RNAcentral lists this ribosomal RNA (427 nucleotides) under uncultured bacterium. RNAcentral describes it as "bacterial SSU rRNA". It matches the Rfam family "Bacterial small subunit ribosomal RNA", at positions 355 to 774 of the family's 1533-position model. The record is from RNAcentral.
UGGGGAAUUUUGGACAAUGGGCGAAAGCCUGAUCCAGCCAUGCCGCGUGAGUGAAGAAGGCCUUCGGGUUGUAAAGCUCUUUCGGGUGGAAAGAAAACGCAUAGGUUAAUAUCUUGUGCGGAUGAUGGUACCAUCAGAAGAAGCACCGGCUAACUACGUGCCAGCAGCCGCGGUAAUACGUAGGGUGCGAGCGUUUAUCGGAAUUACUGGGCGUAAAGCGUGCGCAGGCGGUUAUGUAAGACAGAUGUGAAAUCCCCGGGCUCAACUGGGGAACUGCGUUUGGGACUGCAUAACUAGGGUACGAUAGAGGGGGAUGGAAUUCCUCGUGUAGCAGUGAAAUGCGUAGAUAUACGGAGGAAAACCGAUGGCGAAGGCAAUCCCCUGGACCUGAACUGACACUCAUGCACGAAAGCGUGGGGAGCAAACA